GAGGGAGCCCUUCUUGGGGUCGGCGGCGGUGGCGUACACGGUGUACACGAGCGCGAAGGUGAUGAUGAUCUCGAACACCACGCCCUCCAGCUCGCUGAUGCCGGCGACGCCGUGGGUCGGGAUGGCCUUGCCGUGGGUCACGAACUUGAGGAGCAGGCAGGCCACGGAGGCGCCGAGCAGCUGGGCGACCCAGUAGAAGAGGCCGGUGAGGAUGGUGAUGUGGCCGCCGACGGCGAGGCCGAAGGUCACGGCGGGGUUGAGGUGACCGCCGGAGAUGUUGGCGGCGACGGAGACGCCGACGAAGAGGGCCAAUGCGUGGGCGAUCGCGAUCGCCACCAGGCCGGAAGCAUCGAGCGCGCCGCCAUGGCUCAGUUGCCCUGCACGUACACGCACGGCAAGUAAUCGAUCGAUCAGCACGCGGAGUCAAAGUGUACGAUACGCCUCGAGAUCGACGGAACAGCAGAACUCACCGUAGGCGAUGGCGGAACCGACGCCGGCGAAGACGAAGAGGAGGGUGGCGAUGAACUCGGCCACGUAGGCCUUGAUGGAGGUGGUGCUGAAGGAGUCGCCGACGCUUCCGAACGCGAGCUUCACCAUCUUGCCUUCGCUUUGCUCUUCGAGCUACACCGAAAGCUUUGGCUCUCUGCGCUU
RNAcentral lists this long non-coding RNA (651 nucleotides) under Setaria italica (foxtail millet). RNAcentral describes it as "long non-coding RNA (SITA_LNC000607)". The record is from RNAcentral. Lineage: Eukaryota; Viridiplantae; Streptophyta; Magnoliopsida; Poales; Poaceae.